RNAcentral lists this long non-coding RNA (16011 nucleotides) under Nicotiana tabacum (common tobacco). Its description in RNAcentral is "long non-coding RNA (NTAB_LNC005201)". Lineage: Eukaryota; Viridiplantae; Streptophyta; Magnoliopsida; Solanales; Solanaceae. The record is from RNAcentral.
AAAUAUCGACACAAUAUAUGAAAUGCUAGAAUCCUAUAUAAUGUGUCCUUUCAAUUGCUGCCCCUUCUAGAUAUGUUUGAGACAAACUUGAAAUAACAACGUUACGUGAAUAGAAUAACAAUUGAUAAUACAAUCCCAUGACACAAAUUGCCGCUGCAGAUGAACUUUCCACUACCCUAGGCCUCAACUGAAAGGUCCUAACCAUGACAUGUGUGUUAUUGGCUCCUAAAGCAAACGUAAACGUGGCAUUCUAAUAGUACCCAACUUACACCCCCUAGAGGGCCCAAAAUUUAAGCCAAUUCUUAAUCAAAUCACAAUCCCCCACACGGGAAUCGUACACGUGUAGCCACGUGUCUAGCUUGCUGACCUAAUAUUUGGUUAAGAUCUUAACCCCAGGUCACACCCAUUCGUGGUUAGGACCACGCAAUUCCAUAUUUAUUUGGUACCGGUCUUCACAACUUGAUUUGGCCAAAUAUCAAACACCUGGUAUGCGCGAAUUGACUCCGUUCCUUCUCUCACCUUUUCCUCUCAACUCCCUUGACAAAAACCCAAGAUUUCAGCUACCCAUGUUCAGAAACAGUGAAAUAACAAAUGGGGCUUUCGGGUUUUCCAAGUCCAGCUGAGGGAAUGCUACCGGUAUUGGUAAUGAACACAGUGUUAUCAGCGGCCUUAAUCAAGAACAUGUUGAAAUCAAUGCUUCAAAUGGUGGGUGCUACUUGGGAUCAAUCCAAUUCGCAAGAAGAAGAAACAUCAGUUUCUAAUGAAAGCAGUAGUAGCAGCGGGUCAAGAGAAAGAAGAGUGUCAAUUACUAGGUACGAGUCUCUGUGUAAAAAUAGGUGCGGCGGCGGCAGAGGGACGACAAUGGAGUGUUGUGUGUGUUUAAGUAAGUUUAAAGAUGACGAAAAGGUGAGUGAGUUGUCGUGUAAGCAUUUCUUUCAUACGAGGUGUUUGGGCAAGUGGUUCGAUAAUCAACAUAGUACUUGUCCUCUCUGCCGUUCCAUUUUCUGACUGGAAUAUUGCAGAGUAUAGGUAGAUGAAUGGUAUCUGAUUUGACGCUUCAAUUGUAAAUUAGUUUUUGGUUUUGGUUAUAUAAUUAGUCUAUAUAUAACUAAUUUAGGGUAAUCGGUUCUGUAUUCUAGAGAUGAAUGAUGAUUCUUCCUCUUUCUUUAUCUUUAAUUUGCUAAAGAAAUGUCACUAUGAGAAGGAUGCUUUCCCCUUUUGUUACCUGUCAACUUUUCAUGGCCUCUUUGUAAAAUCUGAUUGUAUAAGAGCAUAUUUACUGGUGGGAUUGAAAAGGAAGAAUUAACAGAAAGUUACUACUAAUAUAGUAAUAUUAUACUCCCUCCGUUUUCUUAUAAAAGAAAAUAAUUCUAACUCUAAACUUUUUAUUUUAUCAAUUUUAUCCUUAAUGAAAAACUUUUAUAACCACACAAAUGUCAUGAUCCUGCAAAGUUUUUAAGAAUACACAUUUCAGAAGUUUUCCUCUUUUUUCUUAAAUUUCGUGUCGAAUUAAAUUAACUCAUUUAAAUUGAACGAAGAGAUUAUUUUUUGGCUUGGUUCUUUUUGAGCUACUAUGGGACAUUGCACAAAAAAGGAUAAAGUUUAUUCUUUCUCGGAUUUAACUAUGUAGUUUUGGAACUUUAGUGGUAUUCUGCAAAGAAAAGAUGCACCAAGUAUAUUCUAAACUACUACAUGCCUAAUACAAAGAAGGUGUUCGCAAGACUGGUAAAGUAAAUUGCUGUGUUGUAUCCUUACAACUUGCAAAGUCCUAGUCUCCCAGUUCCGAAAUCGGUCCACAUCCUGCCAGCACGCUCAGGUUCAAGAAAACAAUGAAGUUGGUCCAUAAUUUGUUUUACUAUAUGUAUACGGGUGAACUCGGGGUCAGCACACCCCGAGUCGACGGUGGGUCAAAUGAAUAUGAAUGUAUGAGAUAGAGAUCGAAUCUGAAAAAACUCUGAAAAAACUCUUUGGUUCGAGGCUGGAACGGGGUGCUCGCCAUCGGGCCCGACAAGAUAACACCCUCCGAACCCAAAACGAGCUCCAAGACCUCAGAAAGCAUUACAAACUGUUGCACACGACUAACAGACGCCCGUGAUAUCCACACCCAACAGGAUAUCACGGCGCGGAUCUCGCCUGAUGCCGGUAGCGUAUCACUGAUUGAUGUACAAGGAGAAUUUUUACCCUUUUUAGAAUUGUACUAGGGGUAAAACUCCCCUACUAUAUAAAGGGGAAGUUUUUUAUCCAAUAGAGACAUUGUAAAACGCUUAUCAAGGCAAUACAAACUUAUUUCUCUACUUUCUAGCUAUUGAAAGAUCCUUGUUUUAAUCAUAGUUCUUCAUACAUAUUUGGCUUCGAAUCAAGGGUGCGGGCGGGAGCAAAACUAUUGCAAACUUAAAUUCGAGCCCAGACUCAACGUCACAAUUGGUUUGGUUAUUUAUUUUAUCCUUAAUUCGUUUAGCUAACAUUCUUGAUUACUUGUAUUGAAUCAAUCCACAUAUCCUUAAAACUGCGUAUAAAUUUAAUUAUUAUCCAUUUCAAGGGUAAACAGUUUGGCUCCCAGCGUGGGGCCAAGGAUAACUGUAGUGGUUUGAUACAAAUUUCCAUAACACACUCUAUUUUACACUUGUUCUUUAAGGUCUUAAUUUCAGGUCAGUUUAAAAAUGUCAAAUUCUCAGUCUGCUCACCUGAACGUUGAGGAUGGGUCUGGCCAUCAUGGCAAAAAUAACAAUCUGGUGCCUAUCAAUAAGGUGCCCCCUACUGAUCCCAACGUGGUCCCAGUCAUAGACCUAGUCGAUGCUAACUCGCAGGUGGUGAUCGACGCCAACCUACUACCGACCCCGAGAACAGCGUUCGCGGAGGAGCCCGACCAACGGCUCAAGGAGCGCCCGAAGGCCAAGGUGACGGGGUCAGUCUACGAUUGAUCUUCGAAAUGUUGCAAGCUCAAUAGGCGGCGAUUGCGCAGCUGCAAAUUCAAAGGCGCGCCCCCAGUAGGGUGGAGCCCGAACCAUCCCGAAAAAACACCCGAAAAAAUGAGUAGAUCACCGAAAUGCCCGGUGAAGCUGAGUUCGGUGUCAGCCCUGAAGUAAUGAAAUGCUUGAAACAUUAAUGAAACUAGGUGGAAUCAGGUGAAAAGAAAAUUGAGGAAAACGACAAAAAAGUGAAAACAUAUAAUUCCGGGUCGGUCAAAUCCCAGGAGCGCCCCCGAUAUUGAAAGGCUCGGAUUCCAAGAAAAUUAUCCAAAAGCCUUUUCCUCCGAGCGCGGUACCAAAGCCAAUCCCGAAGAGGUUUCAUAUGCCCGAUAUUCCAAAAUAUAACGGAACCACGGAUCCGAAUGAGCAUGUGACCUCCUACACAUGCGCCAUAAAAGGUAACGACUUGGAAGAUGACGAAAUCGAGCCAGUGUUGUUAAAAGAGUUCGGGAAAACUCUGUCAAAGGAGCAAUGAUAUGGUACCACAAAUUGCCCCCAAAUUCCAUUUAUUCGUUCGCUAUGCUCGCGAAUGCUUUUGUAAAGGCUCAUGCCGGGGCCAUCAAGGUCGAGACUAGAAAAUCAAAUCUUCAAAGUUAAGCAAAGGGACAACGAGAUGCUCAUGGAAUUCGUGUCAAGAUUUCAAAUGGAACGUAUGGACUUGCCUCCGGCUGUGAACGAUUAGGCCGUUCAGGCAUUCACUCAAGGACUUAACCCCCGUAGCUCCUUAGCUUCGCAGCAGCUGAAAAACAAUUUGGUAGAAUACUCGGCGGUAACUUGGACCGACGUCUACAACAGGUACUAGUCAAAAAUUAGAGUUGAGGACGACCAACUCAGAGCCCCUUCUGGGUCCGUUUAUCCCAUCAGAACGAACGACAUACCUAAGAGAGUCGUCGAUCAUGAAUCAAGGUCAGUCUGAGAUCGGUAUCAGCCAUACAGUGUAUAUCGGAGGGAAAGCAGACCCCGACGAAACCCUACGAGGAACGAGAAGGGAAACGAUGGUGGGACCAAUAACCGAGGUGUGAUGAGCAAGAACGGUUUUGACAGCCCGCUCGGGGGAAGGGAAGCACCAAGAUUAUCAGAGUAUAACUUCAACAUUGAUGCAACCAGCAUCGUAUCGGCUAUGGGGCGCAUCAAGGAAACCAGUAGCCUCGACCAUUGCAGUCCGAUCCUACCUAGAGAGACCCUAACCUGAUGUGUAAGUAUCAUGGAACUCAUGGCCAUAGGACUGAGGACUGCCGACAAUUGAGAGAAGAAGUUGCCCGAUUGUUCAAUAACGGGCACCUCCGAUUGUUUCUGAGUGAUCGAGCCAAAAUCCACUUCAGGAACAGAGACUCCAAUAAACAAACUGAACAAGAAGAACCUCAGCACGUCAUCAACAUGAUUAUUGGAGGGGUCGAUGUCUCCCAGGGGCCUAUGAUAAAGUGCACUAAAGUAUCCAUCACAAGAGAAAAUCACACUCGAGAUUACAUUCUGGAGGGAACCAUUUCGUUCAGGGACGAGGAUGCCGAGGGCAUCGUACAACCUCAUAAUGAUGCACUACUGAUAUUCGUACUUAUCAACAAAUCUUGAGUUAAACGUGUAUUGAUUGAUCCAGGCAGCUCGACCAACAUCACCAGAUCGAGGGUUGAAGAGAAGUUGGGGUUACAGGAUCAAAUAGUGCCGGCGGUCCGAGUGUUGAACGAAUUUAACAUGGCAUGCGAAACUACUAAAGGCAUAAUAACCCUGCCAGUGAAUACCGUCUGGACGAUUCAAGAUACAAAAUUCUACGUAAUCGAAGGGGACAUGAGGUAUAACGUCUUAUUCGGAAGGCCAUGGGUUCACAACAUAAGGGCAGUACCCUCAACAUUACACCAGGUACUGAAGUUCCCUACGCCCGGAGGAAUCAAGACAGUCUACGAAGAGCAGCCGACUGCAAAGGAAAUGUUCCCAGUCGAUGAGGUGAUCCCAGUGCCCGUGGUCUCGACAUCAAAGAAUACAGAGCCAACUAGGAAGGAAGAAAUUAAAUAGAAAUCACCGAUACCGACCCCGACCGAACCAGAAGAGCGAGGAGCAGGCGAGAAGGAUGAUUACGGAGUUCCUAGGUUGUUCAUUGCUCCCGAUGAUUUCGAUGCCACCAAAUCAACAGUCAAUGAGCUGGAGCAAGUCAUAUUGAUCGAACACUUACCCGAUCAGAAGGUAUACCCGGGCACGGGGUUAACUCCCGAGCUUAGGAAAAAACUCAUUGAAUUUCUUAUAGCUAUCAUAGAUUGUUUCGCUUGGUCCCAUCUUGACAUAACAAGGAUCCUGCCGGAGGUAACCACUCAUAUGUUGAGUUUGGAUCCAAAGUUCUACCUGGUUAAGUAGAAAAGAAGACCGCAGUCCGAGGUCAAGUACACAUUCAUCAAGGAUGAGGUAUCUAAACUCCUUAAAAUAGGAUCCAUUCGGAAAGUUAAGUACCCGGACUGGUUAACCAACGUAGUGGUAGUACCUAAGAAAGGAAAUAAGCUAAGAAUGUGUGUGAAUUAUAAAGAUCUGAACAAGGCAUGCCCUAAGGAUUCUUUUCCUUUGCCUAACAUUGAUCGGAUUAUCGACGCGACGGCCGGGCACAAGAUACUCAGUUUUCUUGAUGCCUAUUUCGGGUACAACUAAAUUCAGAUGGACCCGGUCGAUCAAGAAAAGACUUUCUUUAUCACUAAUUCGGCACUUAUUGUUAUAACGUAAUGUCGUUCGGAUUAAAGAAUGCCGGUGCUACCUAUCAACGCCUAGUAAACCGAAUGUUCGAAGAACAUAUAGAAAAAUCAAUGGAAGUUUACAUUGACGACAUGUUAGUUAAGUCCCUACGAGCAGAGGACCAUUUGAAACAUUUGCAGGAAACCUUCGAUAUAUUGAAGAGAUAUACUAUGAAGAUGAACUCAGAAAAGUGCACAUUUGGGGUUGGAUCCGGAAAAUUUCUCAGGUUCAUGGUAUCCAAUCGAGCGAUCGAGAUCAACCCCGAUAAAAUUAAAGCCAUAGAAGACAUCACGGUGGUGGACAACGUCAAGGCCGUUUAGGGGAUGACUAGGUGUAUAGCCUCCUUGGGCCGGUUCAUAUAGAUAUCCUCGGACAAAAGCCAUCGGUCCUUCUCAUUGUUGAAAAAGAAGAAUAACAUUUCCUGGACCCCAGAAUGAAAACAAGCUUUGGAGGAACUCAAACGGUACCUUUCGAGUCCCCCCUGCUCCACACUCUGAAGGAGGAUGAAUAGCUGUACCUUUACAUGGUGGUUUCCGAGGUGGCGGUACGUGGAGUCUUAGUCCGGGAAGAGGAAGGUAUGCAAUUCCCUAUUUACUAUGUCAGUAGAACUCUAGGCAAGGCUGAAAUGAGGUAUCCUCACUGGAAAAAUUGGCGCUCGCUUUGCUAAGCGCCUCUAGUAAGUUAAAACCGUACUUUCAAUGUCACCCCAUCUGUGUCGUAACCUCUUACCCACUGAGGAACAUCAUGCACAAACCCGAGCUCUCUGGCCGGUUGGCCAAAUGGACCGUCAAAAUCAGCUGGUACGAUAUCAAGUAUCGGCCCCGAACCUCCAUAAAAUCUCAAAUUUUGGCCGACUUCGUGGCUGACUUUACGCCGACAUUAGUAACCGAAGUCGAAAGAGAAUUAUUGCUAGCCUAAGGGACUGCCACGGGAAUUUGGACCCUCUUUACGGACGGUGCCUCGAACGCAAAGGGGUCCGGGCUCGGCAUCGUGCUGAAACCGCCUACGGGAAAUAUAGUUAGGCAGUAUAUUAGAACUGUGAAAUUGACUAACAAUGAGGCUGAGUAUGAGGCCAUGCUUGUAGGUCUCGAAUUGGCUAAAAGCCUUGGGGCCGAGGUGGUCGAAGCUAAGUGCGAUCCCGUCCUCGUGGUAAAUCAAGUAAAUGUGACGUUCUAAGUGAAAGAGGAAUGAAUGCGAAGGUAUUUAGACUAGUUAUAGGCAAUGCUGCAUCAAUUCAAGGAAUGGACCCUACAACACGUGCCCUGAGAUCAAAAUAACGAGGCUGAUGCUCUGCUAACUUAGGGUCAUCAGUUAAUGAUGACAAAUUCAGUUCGAGAACAGUCGUAUAGCUCAUGAAGAUGGUGAUAGAAGAAAGCCAUGCCGAGUAAACUUAACGAGUUUAACCUAGGAUUGGAGGAACAAGUACAUAGACUACUUGAAAACUGGGAAAUUGCCCUCGAAUCCCAAAGAAUCGAGAGCCCUGCGUACCAAGGCUACCAUAUUUAGCUUGGUCGAAGGAACACUGUUCAGGAGAACGUUCGACGACCCGUUAGCCAUAUGCUUGGGGUCGGGAGAUACCGAGUACGGUUUGAGAGAAGUUCACGAAGGCACUUGCAGGAACCAUUUGGGGGCAGGAUCUUUGGUUUGGAAAUUAAUCAGGGCCGACUAUUAUUGUACCGAAAUGGAGAAAGAUGCAAAGGACUUCGUACGAAAGUGCGAUGAUUGACAGAGGCACGCACCGAUGAUCCAUCAACCUGGAGAGAUAUUCCAAUUGGUCCUGUCCCCGUGGCCGUUUAUGAAAUGGGGAAUGGACAUCGUCGGUCCCCUACCAUGGGCACUCGGUAAAGUUCAAUUCAAACUAUUUAUGGCUGAUUAUGUUUCCAAAUAGGUCGAGGCUCAAGCAUUCGAAAAGGUCCAGGAAAAAGAAGUCAUUUACUUCAUGUGGGACCAUAUAAUAUGUCGAUUUGGGAUACCGGCCGAAGUCAUGUGUGAUAAUGGAAAACAAUUCCUCGGCAACAAGGUAAAUAAAUUUUUUGAAGAUCACAAGAUUAAGAAGAUAUUAUUAACACCUUACCACCCUAGUGGGAACGAACAUGCAGAAUCAACAAACAAGACCAUACUUCAAAACCUAAAAAAGAGGUUGACCGAUGACAAAGGGAAAUAGAAGGAAAUCUUGCCCGAAGUCUUGUGGGCAUAUCGUACAACCUUGAAGUCUAGUAUUGGGGCCACUCCAUUUUCGUUGGUCUACGUGGCCGAAGCCUUGAUACUAGUCAAGGUGGGAGAACCGAGCCUCAGGUUCCAAUAUGCAAUCGAAGAGUCAAAUGGCAAGGCCAUGAUUACGAGCCCGAAACAAUUGGAUGAAAGGCGUGAGGAAGCUUUUGUCCGGUUGGCAGCCCAGAAAUAGCUGAUAGAGAGAUACUACAACCGAAGAGCCAAUCUCCGACAUUUCAAUAUCGGGGACUUGGUUUUGAGGAAAGUAAUAUUACACACCCGGUACCCGAACGAGGGAAAGUUGGGACCGAAUUGGGAAGGACCGUAUCGAGUCAUCAGAAUUACCGGUAAAGGCUCAUACAAACUCAAAGCGGGAAACAGUGUGCAACUACCGAAUAACUGGAACGUGAUGCACUUAAAGCGGUACUACUGCUAAGGUAUGACCUUAAAUACUCUUUAAUCAUGUUAUGAAUCAGACUAAUACUUGCAGGAAACGGCCAAGGAUGGAUGUGGCUAUUAGGUCUGAAAGCAUGCGUUGCACUUUUUUUCCUUGAACCGGUUUUGUCCCAAAAUGGGUUUUUUGGUAAGGUUUUUAAUGAGGCAAUAGUAAAACGUGCCAACUUAGAUUCUAAGGCCCGUUUCAGGCCGGAGUCAAAGAUCGUUCGCUUCAUGUAAACAGUAGCCCUCUCAAGCUCGACCUCGAAUACUGGGGGACAUUACCCUCGGACUAAGGAUCAAGGGAUUUUAGCAAGGAAAGAAGAACAACUUUGUAUACUAGAAGCUAUGGCUUGGUGGUUAGGAUUCACUAUAAGGGCCAAACGGUCAUAUGAAUCGUGCUCACAUAGUCCACUCAAGCCAUGACACAAGUUUUUAUGCGCUUCCGAUCAUGUACUUUACACACUGAGAAAUAAAAGAAAGUUUUGCCUUGCUAUUUACACAUUUCCUUGCCUGUUAAAUUUAUGAUCCUAAGAGCCCACGGGCUACCCUUACUCGGGGGCUAUCAAGCCCAAGGGCUACCCCUAUUCGGGGACUGUUGUCCGAAGAAGAUUCGAACAACCCGGGCUAUCAAAUCCCGGAGGAACCAAACCUAUGAGAUGGUGCCCAAAUACGAAAGGCUACGACCACCCAAAAAAUGGCUCGGAGAUGUCCGAAGCUUAAGGCCUUUAUAAGAACUCGAAACAUGCUAAGAGGUUACCCUCGACAAUAUCGUCUAAAAGUCGCUUAAGCAUAUUGAAAGAAAUCUCCGGUCACACCGAAUUUUCACAGCCUCGAACAAACAAAGUUGUAUCGAGAUCGGGCCUUGUUCGGACCUCUAACUACAGUCGAUUUUAUGCUAAGGCAUUAGAAACGUUACAUGAACAGAAAGUAUGAAAAGAUGCUGGAAAGGUACAAGUACGAUAUUGCCGGAGAGGAAAAAUUUCAUAUAUAUAUAUAUAUAUAUAUAUAUAUAUAUAUAUAGAGAGAGAGAGAGAGAGAGAGUAUAUUUACAAAGUCCUAAUAAAAACGACCUCAAAAUAAACGAAAAUAAUUGUACAUAGGGCAAAAACUAAAAAAGCACUAAGGAAUCUACGCCUAGUCUUCACCCGGGGCCGACUCAAAGCCGUCAGAGUCUCCGAAGCCCUUGGAACCCUCAGAACCCUCAGAGCCUUCGGCACCUUCGGCACUUUCGGGCUCGUAAAGCUUCUUUGCCUUGUCCUCAGAAUUUUUGCCUUCCUCGAUCUCAGCCAACAGGUCAAAACAUCGGACGUGAAUCUCUUCGAAGUCUCUCUUCGGGAUAACCGCUUCAUAUAUUCAGCCUUUGCCUUUAGGCAAACCUCAGCUGCCUCCACAUCGGCCUUGUAUUGGGCCACCAUUUCUUCAGCAUCGACGGAGGUCGUAUCCAAUUUGGACUCCACUGCCUCGUAUUCUCUACUGAGGGCGUCCCGAUCUGUGACAGCCGAGCUCAGCUGUGCUCGGAGAUUGUCAUUUGGUUGAGACCACUUGUCAGCUUUCUCCUUUGCCAUCUGGAGUUGGACCUCUACUGAUGCCAGCUUCGCUUUGGCGGUUUCCUUCUCCGAAUCCAUCACGUCCAUUUUGCUUUUCCACCCGUCAGCCAUGGCUUGGACCUCGUUCAUCUCGGCUCGGAGUUGGUCGAUCAGGUCAAUCUUUUGUUGGACCUGCGAGGUUGUGUUGUUAGCCACCAUGACUAGCUCCUCAUUUCUAACUUCAAAGACCUUUACUUUUUCGACCAGAUCAUCAUGUUCCCGCUUCAAGGUAGAAGCUUCCUUUUGAGCCCUGUCCAGCUCGGCCUGAAGAUCCUUGACGGCCCUAUCUUGUUGUUCACUAAGAAGCCUUUACAUGUCCUUCUUCCGAACCUGCUCCUUGAGCUCCAAAUCGAGAUGGGUGAUUUUGGAGCGGUACCGGAGGAAGAUCUCGUGGUGAAGCAUCGAGGCCUGCAAAGUAACAAAAAUAAUAAGAGGUAUUGAAACCUAAGUGGAAUUAACAAAUGAGUAUUGAUGCCUUACCCGGUUCAGCGCCUGCUGCACCUUAUUGAAGUGACACGACGCCCCCACCUCGUUCAUCUUCGUCUAAUCCUCUUUGAUCACCAGGCAUCAGAGAUAGCUGGUUAUGCCCAUUGGAGCAGAUAAAAUUCGAGCAUCUGUCGGGACAGUAAGAAUGACUAUUCUCUUACGGCCGGGGUCUACACUCGGAGCAGGAACUGCUUCACAAAUUUUGGGCUCGAACUCGGCCUGCCAGUUUCCAAAGGCACAUCCUUCUUCGGGAUCUCCACGUCCCCCAGCCCAGAAAAAUCUUCCAAAAUGGACAUAUCCACGCCAUCGAAGAAGGAGUGAAGAGGGUCGUCCGGGCCGUGAACUCCUUCACUUGACUUUUCUUUUCCUGCUUGGGCCUCCUCAAGCAUGGACUCGGUGUAGGAGGGCGUCUCCAUGAUGUCUAUUACAUCGGUCACCUCCUUCAGAGCAGAAGCGGCUUCUCGGGAGGUCUCAGCCCUCGUCUCCGUCUCGGCCUCUUGAGUCGGAGGGAGGUCGACCUCACCGCUCUCUCCCUCGGCUGCCGCCUGCUCCCUGGCAAUGGUCGAUUCGUGAGCGACAAAAAUGUCAUCUUCUUCAGACUCAUCCCUGAGCCGGCAAAGUGAGUCAGAAUCCGGUACCCUGGAGUUGGUGCUCUUCUUGGGCUUACGAGCCCGGGAUGUCGCCCUCUCUUUUGGCUUCACCUCAGGACCCGGGGAGCUCAAAGACUUUCUUUUCCUCUUCUUCUUCUCCGCCGAGGCAGCCCCGGGUUGUCCUUUAACGGAGGGAUCAAUGUAUAGGGGUACAUCCUCCUCCCCUUCCAGCGGCCUAAGUUCGGUGGUCUUAGAAGAACCUACGAAAGAUAGAGAAAAGGUCAGCGUUAUGUAAGUUCAAGGCGUAAUAGUAACUAUUCUGACAAGAGCCUUACCAUGAGAACGGGCCUCCUAUCGGCCCUUCAAAAGCUUGUUCCACAAGCGCUCAAAGUACGACAUCUUCUUGAAGAUGCCUUCGAUCCACUCCUUGUGCCGAGCGACCGCAUUGGGAACCCGAGCAACAGCUGCACGAUCACAAAUACUGAUGGUGAGAAAGGGAACAAAGGAGACUCGACACUUAAGGAAAGACUACACUUACGAUAUGCAUUCUACUUCUCGGGAAAUGGCAGGAACUCAGGAGGGAUUAAAUCUUCAGUCUUUACCCGAACGAAGCGCCCCUGCCAGCCUCGGUCUCGAUCUUCAUCGAUGCUCGAAAAUGGGGCCUUGCUGGCCUCGGCGAGUGGGCUAGAUUUGUCCCUCUCAGAAAAUUCGGGGACUGCAUAGACGGAGUAGGUGGUCGAGGGUGAACCGAGGAGACUUGAUGUUGUUCAACAAAAUAACAUGGGAGGAUCAUGAUCCUACAAAGAGACUGGUGGAUUUUCCCAAGUCACACCUCGUAUCUCUUGCAGAAGGCAAAAACUACUGGGUCUAUCGGGCCCAGUGUGAAGGGAUAAGUAUAAAAACUUAAAUACCCCUCCACAUGAAUGGUAAUAUCGUCCUGAGGCUCAGGGACUACCACGUCCUUACCUCCCCAUUUACAGUCCUUUCGGACUGUGGGAAGGGUAUCUUCGGUAAUAGAGCAUAUAUAUCUCGAUGCCCCCUCACCUCGGUCUUAUUUGGAUGAGGCCUUCUCGACUUUAAAGUCGUCUAUGAUUGAACAACCCAUGGGAAUAAAGCUCUUCAUGGGGGGCUUUGGGGCCACUUCGGUAGCAGUCACUUCGGGAGCAACCACCUCGGGAGCAGCCAUCUCGAGAAUAACCACCUCAGAAAUGGUUGCCUCAGUACCUGUGGCCGGAUGGGAAGAUGAAGUGGCAGCCUACUGAGGAGCUGAUUUGGAAUUCUUGGCCAUCGUGAUCUGUAGAAUAAGAAGAUUUGAAGGGAAAAUAUGCAGGUUUGAAGGAAAGAUAUGAAGGUUUGAAAGAAAAGGUAUAAAGGUUUGAAGGUAGGAUGAAGAUCUAGGUAGAACCCUAAGAACGGUUAUGUCACGACCUAAAAUCCCAAGUACCGUGAUGGCGCCUAUCAUGAUUCUAGGCAAGACGACAACUCACACAUACCGACAUCUUGAAAUUUAAAAUAUACAAAAAUAAGCUUAAGCAAGUAAAAGUCUCAUAAAACUGAAUGAAAACGUUAUAGCUCAAUACAGAAUUUUCCAAAACCCGGGUGUCACUGAGUACAUGAGAAUCUAUACAAAUACAUAGUCUGAUACACUAUCUAAGAAAGUAGAACUGGAUAAGUAAAACUAAGGGAUAGGGGAGGAGAGUCAAGGUCUGUAAACGUCAAGGCAGCUACCUCGAUAAUCUCCGAACAGCUAAAAACUCUGAGAUCAACAACCACCGUGCCCGAAAACACCUGGAUUUGCACACGAAGUGCAGGGUGUAGCGUGAGUACAACCAACUAAAUAAGUAACAAGUCUAAACUUUGGACUGGAAGCAGUGAUGAGUCCGAAAAAUACGGUCCAAAUACAUAAUUAAACAGUAUGAAAAUUUACAGAACAUAUAUGUCAAGUCUGAAUGAUAUGAGGAAUAUGACAUCUCUAGAUCACAUGCAAAUAUGCAUAUCGUAUGUGAUGCAACACAAUGAAAGCCUCGCGUACUCACACUCUCGGAGUACUUAACCCGCCUGUUUUAAUUCUCACUCAUCACACUCAAUUACUCAGCACUGUACAGGGCAGAUCUAGCUCAGGGCAGAUCCAACCUGAAUCAAAUAUCAUGAAUCAAUAGCAACUGCACUCAGUGUGGGUGUUCAGACUAUGGAGGGGCAGAUCUAGCCCAAGCACUAUAAUAAGCCAAUCAUGGCUUGAAUCAAUAAAUCCUGCUGUGACGUGCAACCCGAUCCCAUAAAUAUCACUCACAAAUAGGCCCUCGGCCUCACUCAGUUAUCAAUCUCUCCAGUCUCUCGGGCUCACAACACUCAUGCUAAACAACCCAAAUCAAUGAUACGUGAUAUGACAAUGUAUGAUAACAGAGACUGAGAUAUGAUAUGCAAUGAUGAAUGUGACUGAGUACAUAACUGCACUUAAGCAAAUAACUCAACAGCAAAGAAUGACCAUUGUGGGUCCCUAUAGUACCAGCACAUAGCCUAAACAUGAUUUCUAGCAUAAAUCACAGCUCAAGUGCUCUAACACAUGGAGUACAGUAAUGAUAUUCAGAUGAGAUAGCUACACAGUUCUAUGGAAUCGACUUAAUAACAAUUACUAUGGUUCCGUCACCUAGCAUACGCGUCACCUCAACACCAAUCACAUAACACGUAAUUUCGGGGAUUCAUACCCUCAGAACCAAGUUUAGAAAUGUUACUUACCUCAAACCAUGCAAAUCUCUACUCCAACAAGCCCUUGCCUCGUGAAUUGGCCUCCGAAUGCCUCAAAUCUAGCCAAAAACAAUUCGAUACAAUCAACUCAAGCUAUAUGAAUCAAUUCCAUAUGAAAAUGCUAAGUUCUUAAUCAAAAGUCAAAAAGUCAACCCCGGGCCCACAUCUCGAUAUUCGAUGAAAGUUACAAAAUUCGAACACCCAUUCAACCACGAGUCCAACUAUACCAAAAUCACUCAAAUCCGUUACCAAAAUCCCGCUCAAAUUCCCAAAAUUCGGCCUAAGAAGUUUUCUCCGUUUUUCCAAAUUUUUCUACCCAAAUCACUAAUUAAAUGAUGAAAUCUAAGAUCUAUUCAUGUAAUUUAACCAAAACCAAGUAAGAAUCACUUACCCCAAUCACUCCCUUGAAAAUCUCUCCAAGAGUCGCCUCAAACCGAGAUCCCAAAAUCAAAUUGUGAAAUAAACUCAAACCCUCGUUUUUGAGAUUUAAUAUUCUGCCCAGAAGUCCUUAAUCGCGAUCGCGAAAAAUUCCUCGCGAUCGCGAAGCACAAACUAAGCUGCCCAAAAAUUAAACCUAUGCGAACGCGACAAUAUCCACAUGAACGCGAAGCACUGCCUACUCAGACCUACGCGAUUGCGUCCCUCUUCAUAUGAUCGCGAAGAACAAAACAUGUGUACUCAGCUCCUACCUCAUUUCCUUUUCGCGAACGCGGCCUAGCCCACGCAUUCGCGAUUCACUGCUUCACUAACCUACGCGAUCGCAGCCCUCAACUCGCGAAUGCGUAAAGUAAAAAUCCCAGCUGCCCAAACAAGCCUUCGCGAACGCGGACCUAUCCACGCGAUCACAUAGAAGGAAACCAGACAUGCACACUAGAAAGACUUCAACAAUCUUCCAAGUCAAAUUUCACUCCGUUAACCGUACGAAAUCCACCCGAGGCCUCCGGUACCCUAACCAAACAUACCAACAAGUCCUAAAACAUCAUACGAACAUAGUCGAGGCCUCAAAUCACAUCAAACAAUAUCAAAAAUUCGAAUCGCACCCCAAUUUAAGCCUAAUGAACUUAUGAACUCCUAACUUCUACAUUCGAUGCCGAAACCUAUCAAAUCAAGUCCAAUUGACCUCAAAUUUUGAACACAAGUCAUAAAUGACAUAACCGACCUAUUCCAAUUUCCAGAACCAAAUUUUGAUCCCAGUAAUCACAAAGUCAACUCUCGGUCAAACUUUUCAAUUUCCAAAACUUUUAAUUUUCCAACUUUUGCCAUUUCAAGCCUAAAUCAACUACGGACCUCCAAAUUAUUAUUCGGACAUACUCCUAAGUCCUAAAUCACCCAACAGAGCUAUCAGAACAAUCAAAACUCUAUUUUUAAGCCAUUUACACAUAAGUCAACACCCGGUCAACCUUGUCAACUUAAGCUUCCAACAUUGAGACUAAGUGUCUCAACUCAUUCCGUAACAUCUCCGGAACCGAACCAACUACCCCGACAAGUCAAAUAAUGACAAUUGAGCGUAAAAUAAGCAGUAAAUGGGUGAGCGGGGCUACAACACUCAAAAUGACUGGCCGGGUCGUUAUAUUAUCCCCCUCUUAAACAAACAUUCGUCAAACAUACCCGGAGUCUCAAAUAGGUGUGGAUAUCUUCUCUGCAUCUCCCGCUCGGUCUCCCAAGUAUCCUCCUCGACUGGAUGGCCUCUCCACUGCACCUUCACUGAAGCUAUGUUCUUUGACCUCAACUUUUGAACCUGUCGAUCCAAAAUGGCCACUGGCUCCACAUCAUAAGUCAAAUCACCAUCCAACUGAGCCGUGCUAAAAUCCAAAACAUGAGACGGGUUGGGGACAUACUUCAGGAGCAUAGAAAUAUGAAACACUAGAUGAACACUCGACAGACUAGGCGACAAGGCAAGCUUGUAAGCCACUUCUCCAAUCCUCUGAAGCUCUUCAAACAGACCAAUGUACCGAGGGCUCAACUUGACCUUCUUCCCAAACCUCAUAACACCCUUCAUGGGUGAAAAUUUGAGCAGUACCUUCUCCCCCACGAUGUAAGAAACAUCACGAACCUUCCGAUCAGCGUAACGCUUCUGCCUAGACUGCGCCGUGCAAAGCCGAUCCUAAAUCAACUUAACAUUGUCCAGAGCAUCUUGAACUAAGUCAGUACCUAACAGCCUAGCCUUACCCGGCUCAAACCAUCCCAUCGGAGACCGACACCGUGUCCCAUAUAAAGCCUCAUACGGAGCCAUCUGGAUGCUCGAUUGGUAGCUGUUGUUGUAGACAAACUCUGCAA